UAGGUGAACCUGCGGAAGGAUCAUUAUCGAGCUAAAACCAAAAGUCUCCGAACGUGCAUGCCUUCCAUGUGCGCGUAUACGUGAGCCGCGCAGCAAGUUGCACACAUGUGGUGGUGGUGGUGGCCGUCAGCCGUGCUUUUUUGGCAGACAAUGGUCUGUAGCUUGCUGUGUGUUGAGGGGGGAUAGGUGACGUGCUGGGCUAGUUAGAAAGGUACGUCGCUAGCGCCUAUCCUCUCGUUAUUCGUAACAACGGUGUCCACUUUGGCGUCUACGCCUCACCUAGCUAUCGCCUGGACCGUCGGUAGCGAUGAAAGGUGGGGAUAAAGCUCCUCGUUUCGAGUCGAGUAGACUUAAUGAGCCUGUGGUAACGGGCCGCCGAAACCCAAACACAACCAGUCUUAUGUUUGAAUUUAUAGGAGGUGGUCUUGUCACCCCUGUUGGUGUAUGGAUCGCCUUCAAAUCGAGUUAUAAAUCUUAGCGGUGGAUCACUCGGUUCGUGGAUCGAUGAAGAACGCAGCUAGCUGCGAUAAAUAGUGCGAAUUGCAGACACAUUGAGCACUAAGAAUUCGAACGCACAUUGCGCCAUCGGGUUCGUUCCCGUUGGCACGUCUGGCUGAGGGUCGAAUUAUCGAAAACGAUCCGCGUUGGGCAGCUUCGCGCGCUAGUAGUCGGAGCGUCGCCCAUGCGGUGUAUUCGGCGAGCUAUGGUCCUAACUCGACCGUACCUUGCUAAGUGUUUGCUAUGCCAUUUGCUCGCAGUCAUUUGCUCAAUGCGAGGCGAUGAUGGCCGUCAAGUGUUGCUCUCAGAUGCGGCUCCGAGCACGUGUUGUUGUUGCUGUGUUGGUGGUUUGGUGGUGAUAUGGUUUGUUUGGAUGCAUGCAUCGACGGCUAGUGAUGAGAGUGAUGCGAGGUGGCUAUCGCUUUGUUGUUUUGACCUCAGCUCAGUCGUGACUACCCGCUGAAUUUAAGCAUAUAACUAAGCGGAGGAAAAGAAACUAA
Molecule: ribosomal RNA, 998 nt
Filed under: Contracaecum muraenesoxi
Lineage: Eukaryota; Metazoa; Nematoda; Chromadorea; Rhabditida; Anisakidae
Description: eukaryotic LSU rRNA
Rfam family: 5.8S ribosomal RNA (bases 470-623)
Source: RNAcentral